GAGAGAGAGAGAAGGGGAGAUGAAGGAGGACAACAGUUUCAGUGUGAUCUUUGCUCCAGUCGUUAAACAGAAUCACAACUUAUUGAUCUGUUUAUCUUUUAUUACUAAUUACAUGUCUCCCCCCCCUCUCCUAUCGAUUAGCUCUUUAGAUUCCUGCAGCUAGAUAAGGGUCAGCACAUCGACAGGUAAGAGGACGACAGGUGAAGUGGCACCUCGACACUGAGGUCAGUUUAGAGUUGGAGCUGAAGACUCUACGCUGAUCCUAGAUCUGUGCCUAAAGGGAAACGUCUAAAUUACAUUCAGCCCCACUGCUGGUGCUCUCCCACUGAGGCAUAGCAGGGAAAAACAACCUACCCACUGAUUCAGACUCUCUGAUGGUUGAGGACAGGACUGGGGGGGGGUUUAGUAACCUAAUCCUAUCAGGACUGGGAGGGGGGUUUAGUAACCUAAUCCUAUCAGGACUGGGGGGGGGGGGGGAAGCCAGAGAGCUGGUCAAAACAACUGGAAAGGGAGGGGUGAUUUUAGAGAGGCGGGACUACUCUCCUAUCCUAUCACACAGGGUGUGGGUGUGUCCUCUUUUUAAUCAGGGUGUUUCUGUGGGUGUGUCCUCUUUAAUCAGGGUGUUUCUGUGGGUGUGUCCUCUAAUCAGGGUGUUUCUGUGGGUGUGUCCUCUAAUCAGGGUGUUUCUGUGGGCGUGUCCUCUUUAAUCAGGGUGUUUCUGUGGGCGUGUCCUCUUUAAUCAGGGUGUUUCUGUGGGCGUGUCCUCUUUAAUCAGGGUGUUUCUGUGGGUGUGUCCUCUUUAAUCAGGGUGUUUCUGUGGGCGUGUCCUCUUUCGCAGGUGUGUUUUCCUCUCCCGUGGGUGUGUCCUGACCAGUCUCCUCCCCUUCUGAUGCAGCUGAAAGGGGUGUGUCUCCCUCAGAAGAAAGGGGUGUGUCUCCCUCAGAAGAAAGGGGUGUGUCUCCCUCAGAAGAAAGGGGCGUGUCUUGCUCAGUGGGCGUUCCCAUCUCUGCUUCAGCUGUCUCUUGAAUUGUUGUUUCGGUUUCAGUCUCCUCCUCCUCUUCCUCCAUCGCCGACCCUUCCACUUCCUCCUUUGGCUCCUCCCCUUCUCUCUUCUCUAGCCCCUCCUCCUCCUCCUCCUCCUCCUCUCUGAUAGCCGUAUCAGUGCCGAGGUGUGUGUGUGAGCCGAGUGCGUGCAGGUGGUCAGCCGGGGGCAGCAGGGUCAGUGACUCGACGCUCAGAGAGUCUGUGUUGUCGUCGGUCAGUAGAGAGAUGUUAGGCUGGGAGGCAGGGGUGAGGCUGGGGGCGAGGACAGACGGGACAGGGGAACAAGACCCGGUUAACUCUCCUCCUCUUCCUCCUGCCUCUCCACCGGAGACCGAAGAAGGAGGGGUGUGCUCCAAGAACGUCUCCUCAUCUGAGGAGGAAGAGGGGUUAAUGUUAGCUCAACCAGUUAGCUGCAGCUACAGACGACCGCUAUCUAAGCCUAGCAUCUAGAGCUAACGAUCGCUACAGACGGCCGCUAUCUAAGCCUAGCAUCUAGAGCUAACGAUCGCUACCGACGGCCGCUAUCUAAGCCUAGCAUCUAGAGCUAACGAUCGCUACCGACGACCGCUAUCUAAGCCUAGCAUCUAGAGCUAACGAUCGCUA
This is a long non-coding RNA of Oncorhynchus tshawytscha (Chinook salmon), 1647 nucleotides long. The record is from Ensembl. NCBI's taxonomy places the organism in Eukaryota, Metazoa, Chordata, Actinopteri, Salmoniformes, Salmonidae.